AGGCCAGAUCCACGAUCAGGUGCAUGGCAGGGGCUUGUCCGCAGGACCGGAACCUUGGUACCUCACUCCGGAUUCUAUUAAAAUCGUAAUCUCUAGAAGAUGGAUUCAGCAAAUGCCAGGCGUGGAGCCAUGAAUGUUUCCAUAAGAAACAAGAAAAAUAGAAAGAAUGUGUGUUAGCCAGACGACACCUUGAUGGCACCCCUGCCACCUCCCCAGCCCUCCUCAGUGGCAAAGUGAUUUAGCUCAGUUGGGCUUCUCCAAAAUGGAAAUAGUCACUUGUUUGAGCAAAUAAAUGUAAUGAAAGUUGUUCCGGAAAAA
Long non-coding RNA from Homo sapiens (human), 318 nucleotides. Ensembl annotates it as long intergenic non-protein coding RNA 1624. The record is from Ensembl. Lineage: Eukaryota; Metazoa; Chordata; Mammalia; Primates; Hominidae.